Molecule: non-coding RNA, 69 nt
Organism: Nothobranchius furzeri (turquoise killifish)
Lineage: Eukaryota; Metazoa; Chordata; Actinopteri; Cyprinodontiformes; Nothobranchiidae
Source: Ensembl
AUCUUUCUAGUAUAGGUAAUACUAGUGACUUCCAAUCACUUAACCCUAGUUAAAUUCUAGGGAAAGAUA